Molecule: long non-coding RNA, 620 nt
Organism: Vidua macroura (Pin-tailed whydah)
Lineage: Eukaryota; Metazoa; Chordata; Aves; Passeriformes; Viduidae
Exons: 3
Source: RefSeq, a predicted model, not a curated record
GGUAAAGACUGACCCUUGGAGUGCCGUGGGCUGUGACGGACCCGUGUAGGGCUGUCGUUCUCUCCCGCAGCCCGGUCCCGUGUCCCGGCGUCACCGCCAGCGCUCCGGGGCGGAGCGGCCUCGCACGGAAACCCAGCCGGGAAGAGCCGCCUUGUUCCCUGCCUUGUUCCCCGUUCCCAGCGUUGUUCCCGCAUACACACCGGGCGGCUGGAGCGGGAGAGCGUCCUCCACCUGCCGGGAAUGGCUGGGGCGCGGGUCCGGCGGGGGAGCGCCGCCCCGGGGAGAGCGGCAAGGAGCGGUGCGCUGAGCUGCUCACUCACGCAGGGCGAGAGGCACCAAAGCGCAGAGCCAGGGAGCGGGGGUGCCGCAGGGGUGGAAAGAGCCAGCACAUCUCUGUCUCUUACCUCCAGUACAGCUGACUCUUCUGAUCUGCACUUAAUCUGACCCAAGAUAACUGUAAGCAGGAGAGAGCUGGGGAUUCAGUAACAUUGUAUGGGAGACAUGGAUAAAGCACUGGAUCUACACCUUGUUAACCAAAGCAUCACCUAAUCUGGACAGCUGGAAAUGCAGCACUGAGGGCCAUGUUUUAAGAUUAUUAAAUAAAAUGAGUCUCAACUCUC